This 253-nucleotide ribosomal RNA is filed under the name uncultured bacterium. Its description in RNAcentral is "partial 16S ribosomal RNA". It matches the Rfam family "Bacterial small subunit ribosomal RNA", at positions 524 to 776 of the family's 1533-position model. The record is from RNAcentral.
UACGGAGGGUGCGAGCGUUGUCCGGAAUCAUUGGGCGUAAAGGGCGCGUAGGCGGCGCGGUAAGCGUGCGGUGAAAGCCUGGGGCUCAACCCCGGGUCGGCCGUGCGAACUGCUGGGCUUGAGCACUGUAGAGGCAGGCGGAAUUCCGGGUGUAGCGGUGGAAUGCGUAGAGAUCCGGAAGAACACCGGUGGCGAAGGCGGCCUGCUGGGCAGUUGCUGACACUGAGGCGCGACAGCGUGGGGAGCAAACAGG